GCCGGGCAUGGCGGUGCAUGCCUGUAAUCCCAGCCACUCGGGAGGCUGAGGCAGGAGAAUCGCUUGAACCCAGGAGGUGGAAGUUGCAGUGAGCCAAGAUGACGCCACUGCACUCCAGCCUGGGCAACAGAGUGAGACUCUGUCUCAA
Molecule: non-coding RNA, 148 nt
Filed under: Chlorocebus sabaeus (green monkey)
Lineage: Eukaryota; Metazoa; Chordata; Mammalia; Primates; Cercopithecidae
Source: Rfam by way of RNAcentral